GAUUAUAAAAUUUAUUUGGGGGGGUUAUGUCAUCAAUAUAAACAUAAACUGUUUUUCCAAUAUUGAUAUCACUUAAACCAACCAAUCAAUAUAUCCUCUCUACCCCCAGGUCUCCUUGAAACCACCAAGUCAAAAGUAGUCAAAGUAGCACAAUAUGAUUUAUAUGGAAACUGGACCUGUACUAUCAAGUUAACAGUUACUAGAGAGUCUAUACCCAAAAAUUUCACUCUCUUUAAAAAAAAAUCUUGGUAUCUAUUAGGCAAAUAAUGAGAUGAGGGAUGACCAGAAGAGUCUCAAACCCAAAAAGAAAUGGUAGUGUCAAAAGAUAGACUAUCAUGAUGAGUCAGGAGAAAUAUUUACACCGCCUCACCAUUCUACCCAUACAAAGAAUACAGAGUCUUACACCACUCUAUAAAUAAUAAUUUUAAAAACUACAAAUCUACAGGGGGAUAAAAUGUAUAGUUGUUAAUCUUAAUUUAAGGCCCUAAAGUUUAGCCAGUUGUCAAUGGAGAUAUGAUCAUUCCAGUUCAUUAAAAUAAUGAGCUAAACCAUCAUGGUACAUCAUUCUUGGGUUCCUGUAAUGUCUAUAUGAUAGACAUUUUUAUAAAUAUUUCUUUAUUUCUAUGAAAGAUCAGAAAAGUACCAUGUUAUUAAGUUGAACCAUAGUGGUACUUCACUCUUGGACUGUGGUCCUUUAUUUCUUUGAGAAAUCAGAAAAGUACCAUGUUAUUAAAUUAUACAGUACCAAGUACCAUGUUAUUAAUAAAUCAGAAAGGAUUUUGCCUUUUGGAGAUAAAGUUCAGCUGAUUUGCUGCUGACAUGAUUCUUUGGAAAACUGGUGAAAACUACCUUUAAGAAGCCAGUGUUUUAAUCAUAUUUCAAGGUAUCAGACCUAAGAAGCUCCCUGAAAAAACACAAAUGACAACACACUGUUAUCUUAGUACAUUUAUCACAUAGAAAAAGCUAACAAGUAUUUUAUUAUUUUAUUCUACAAUAUAUACAGGUCAUAAAAGGCCACAGCAGUUUUUCAACAUAUAAACCCUUUAAAAGUAGAGGGCACUAUGAAGGAUAGACAAGUAUCAAAAUGAAGUCCCGUAAUGAGGGCAUAUACUCAGUGCAGUAUUUCUGAGGAAUAACAAAGCAGAUACCAAGUCAUCCAUAUUUGGCUUGCAAUUAUUCCAUAGGUUUUAUAAAAGUUUUUGAGAUUUGUUAACUGUUUAGGUGAGCCAAGUUGCCAUUUACUACAAAAAUUGAAACCAGAAUGAAAGAACAAUGAAUUUAGAGGGCAUGCUUCCUAAUUUUAGUGAUUUAUAGGUCUCCAGGAAAGAAAGCCUCAAUUCUUUACCACCUUCCACUUCUUCCUGCCAUCAAAGAUAGGAAAGAGAGAAAUGGAAGAAAAAACUUAUUAUUCCCAAUUCUUCCUGCUUAGCUGAAGUUUUCAUUUUCAUUAGGGGUUUCUUCAAAGUAUACAUCAGGCCUUUUAAGAAUUAGCUUUGAAUUCCUAAACACAUAAUAUUACAUCCUCCUUGAAUGAUAACUCAAAAACAUUGGUUUCUACUCUGUGAAAAUACAAUCUUUAAACCUAUAACUGGUAUCAGCAGAUCAAUGUAAAAAAAUACAGUACCAAGCUACACUGGUAUAUUUCCAUAUUAAGAACUUCAAAAUAUACUUAUCACUGAGACCGUAGUCCUUGCAUUAGUUUUCAGUCCACUAUGAACAAUUAUCUGCUGCAUGUAAACAUGUCUAAAUAACUAUAGAUAAAAUACAUCAAUCAUAAAUUUCUGUAAAAGAUAAUAAAAUAUCUUCUUUAAAAAACAAAACAAUAAUAAGGUAUUACUGCAUUGUUUCCAAUUUUAUGAAAAUGGAACAACCAUAGGUUGUUGCCAGUCCUGAGUUCAUUGUAAUAAAAAUGGCCCUAGUUCCUGGUUAAAAUCAGCAACCAAUCCAUUCUCUUCAUUUGAUGUCUUCUAGUACUGCAGGCAAGAAUUUGUUUUAGGUGUUAUUCUGUCCAUUAAUAAAAUUAUAUACCAGAAACUGA
Galeopterus variegatus (Sunda flying lemur) is the source of this 2038-nucleotide long non-coding RNA. RefSeq lists it as uncharacterized. Lineage: Eukaryota; Metazoa; Chordata; Mammalia; Dermoptera; Cynocephalidae. The record is from RefSeq and is a predicted model, not a curated record. The transcript has 2 exons.